GGGCCCGCACAAGCGGUGGAGCAUGUGGUUUAAUUCGAUGCAACGCGCAGAACCUUACCAACCCUUGACAUACUCGUCGUCGCUCCAGAGAUGGAGCUUUCAGUUCGGCUGGACGAGAUACAGGUGCUGCAUGGCUGUCGUCAGCUCGUGUCGUGAGAUGUUCGGUUAAGUCCGGCAACGAGCGCAACCCACAUCCCUAGUUGCCAGCAGUUCGGCUGGGCACUCUAUGGAAACUGCCCGUGAUAAGCGGGAGGAAGGUGUGGAUGACGUCAAGUCCUCAUGGCCCUUACGGGUUGGGCUACACACGUGCUACAAUGGCAGUGACAAUGGGUUAAUCCCAAAAGCCAUCUCAGUUCGGAUUGGGGUCUGCAACUCGACCCAUGAAGUCGGAAUCGCUAGUAA
This 402-nucleotide ribosomal RNA is filed under the name uncultured bacterium. RNAcentral's name for it is "bacterial SSU rRNA". It matches the Rfam family "Bacterial small subunit ribosomal RNA", at positions 917 to 1341 of the family's 1533-position model. The record is from RNAcentral.